This 127-nucleotide ribosomal RNA is filed under the name uncultured archaeon. Its description in RNAcentral is "partial 16S ribosomal RNA". It matches the Rfam family "Archaeal small subunit ribosomal RNA", at positions 235 to 361 of the family's 1478-position model. The record is from RNAcentral.
AGUGGUGUAAUGGACCACCUAGCCUCAGACGGGUACGGGCCCUGGGAGGGGUAGCCCGGAGAUGGACUCUGAGACAUAAGUCCAGGCCCUACGGGGCGCAGCAGGCGCGAACACUGUGCAAUGCGCG